UGAUUUGGGAGUAUGAGAAAGUUGAACGAAAAGAGUGAACUCUUGUGCUUAAUUGAUUAGUCUUUAUGGGAUAAGUAGAGAAACUUCUAGCUCAAUUUGUGAAAAGUCUUGGCCCCCCCCAAAAAAAAAAAAAGAGAAAGAAUAAAGAAAGGGGGCUAGGAAAAUUAGUAUGAGCUAAGAGGUGUUCAAAAAGUGUAAGAAAUCCCUUGUAAAAAAAAAAAAAAAAAGAAAAAGAGUUUUAUGUUGGGAAAUGCUUUUGAAGUCCUUGGGUGAGAGAUGUGAGUUGGGUUUGGAAUGGGGAAAUGAAUGUGUAUCAUAUAUGUUUGGGAAAAGGGUAGAACAAUGGAGAUUGAGCAUUGUAUGC
This 364-nucleotide long non-coding RNA is filed under the name Brassica napus (rape). RNAcentral describes it as "long non-coding RNA (BNAP_LNC026092)". The record is from RNAcentral. Lineage: Eukaryota; Viridiplantae; Streptophyta; Magnoliopsida; Brassicales; Brassicaceae.